AUACAUAGCUCUGAUGUGUAAUUUCUCUCGUCCGAUCACCGAAGUUAAGCAAUGUCGGGCCCGGUCAGUACUUGAGAAGGUGACCACCUGGGAACACCGGGUGCUGUAGGCU
Molecule: non-coding RNA, 112 nt
Organism: Cordylochernes scorpioides
Lineage: Eukaryota; Metazoa; Arthropoda; Arachnida; Pseudoscorpiones; Chernetidae
Source: the annotation of a GenBank genome assembly